Molecule: ribosomal RNA, 478 nt
Filed under: uncultured organism
Description: partial 16S ribosomal RNA
Rfam family: Bacterial small subunit ribosomal RNA
Source: RNAcentral
GUACACUCCUGCGGGAGGCAGCAGUGGGGAAUUUUGGACAAUGGGCGAAAGCCUGAUCCAGCAAUGCCGCGUGAGUGAAGAAGGCCUUCGGGUUGUAAAGCUCUUUUGUCAGGGAAGAAACGGUGAGAGCUAAUAUCUCUUGCUAAUGACGGUACCUGAAGAAUAAGCACCGGCUAACUACGUGCCAGCAGCCGCGGUAAUACGUAGGGUGCAAGCGUUAAUCGGAAUUACUGGGCGUAAAGCGUGCGCAGGCGGGUUUGUAAGUCUGAUGUGAAAUCCCCGGGCUCAACCUGGGAAUUGCAUUGGAGACUGCAAGGCUAGAAUCUGGCAGAGGGGGGUAGAAUUCCACGUGUAGCAGUGAAAUGCGUAGAUAUGUGGAGGAACACCGAUGGCGAAGGCAGCCCCCUGGGUCAAGAUUGACGCUCAUGCACGAAAGCGUGGGGAGCAAACAGGAUUAGAAACCCCUGUAGUCCCAUGA